This 492-nucleotide ribosomal RNA is filed under the name uncultured bacterium. RNAcentral describes it as "partial 16S ribosomal RNA". It matches the Rfam family "Bacterial small subunit ribosomal RNA", at positions 29 to 507 of the family's 1533-position model. The record is from RNAcentral.
AGUGAACGCUGGCGGCAGGCCUAACACAUGCAAGUCGAACGGCAGCACAGUAAGAUCUUGCUCUUACCGUUAGCGAGUGGCGGACGGGUGAGGCGUACAUCGCAAUCUACUUUUUCGGGGAUGAUAACGGAGAACAACUGACACUAAUACCGCAUACGACCUACGGGUUAAAGCAGUGGAUCUUGGCACCUUGGGUGACUCAAUGAGCCGAUGUCGGAUUAGCUAGUUGGCUUGGUAAAGGCCCACCAAGGCGACGAUCCGUAGCUGGCCUGAGAGGAUGAUCAGCCACACUGGAACUGAGACACGGUCCAGACUCCUACGGGAGGCAGCAGUGGGGAAUAUUGGGCAAUGGGCGAAAGCCUGAUGCAGCAAUGCCGCGUGAGUGAAGAAGGCCUUCGGGUUGUAAAGCCCUUUUGUUAGGGAAGAAAAGAAGCAGAUUAAUCCAUCGCUGUUCUGACGGUACCCAAUGAGUAAGCACCGGCUAACUUCGUG